CGAGUUGAUGAAUUAUAAAGUAAAUGUGACAUAAUAGGGUCAGAGGACACUUGACUUCACCAAACAGAUGCUCAGGGUCUUCAACUUUGUAGAACUCGAAGAACUGGGUCAUUUGGUCGCCGAAGCUUGACCGUCGAUUCAUCGAAGCUCAAAAAUGGAUCGCACUCUAUUCGCGACGCACAGCGAAUACAAACAGCCACAAACAAACAACCAUAUAUAUGCAUAAGAACAUUACUCCAUUCAAGUAAAACAUAAUAAAAUACACAAAAUAAAAUAGAGUGUGUUACUACGGUCACACGAGGACAAAGAAACGCGACGGUCGAGGCUACGGUCGAGAGGUUAUCGCGUCCACACUACACGAGUAUUAAUCAUAAUAUCUAAUUCGACAUUGUCAAAUAUAAAUAUUAUACAUCAGUUAGUUCGAUUAAUGUUCUAUAUCAACAAUGUCAGUUAAUUAAGUAAUUUAAAUAAAAUGGGAGAUUCUAAGCGAGACGAAUUUAUGACGCGUGAAACAGCACGACAGCGUGCAAACGACGCACGGACACGCGCGACAUAGCACCCUGAUGACACACGAAACAGCGCGCGCGACGAGCGCGAACGCGCACGAAUCAGCACGCGACCACGGACACAUCACGCACGAACAACGCGCAGACAGCACGUGCACGACGCGCGAAGCAGCAUGCCACCGUGCGCGGAACAGCACCCGCGACAGACAAGAAUAACUGAAUAGGUGACAUGUUUAUACUAAACGAAUGUUAAAUAAAUAGAAAGUAGUUAAAUUAAUAUUAUCCAUGUUAAUAUUUAUUAUAAAAGCCCAAGUUGAACACUACACAUUUAAUCUAAUUAGAAUAUUAAUCUAAUAAAUAUUAAUCGAGUGAGCCUUAAGUUAAUUAUCUAACAUAUAUGAUUUGACGAAUUAACCUUAUUAAUAUGAGUGUUUAUAAGCGAAAAACAAUUUAUUAUCACGCGCUGACGCCGCGCGACCCACGUGAUCGACACACGAGAUACACGUGAGCAACGCGUGGCGAGACGAGCGACACACGCGAAAGGCGCGUGACAACGCGUGCGAACAGCACGCGCGAAUGACGCACAAAUCAACACGUAACCAUGUGUGAAACCGUGCGCGAUACGCGAGAAAAACUACGUAGACGUCGCAUUUAUAUUAAACAAACAUUAGAGCAAAAUAGUUGAUUUAAUACUAAUCAUAUCUACUAAUGCAUGAUUAGAAUUAUAAAUCAGACUCGAUGGAAUUAUUAUUUUAAUAACCAACAACUAAACAAUUAACUAAUUAUUUAACAUGAGCUCUAUGGAGAAAUGAUUUUAUUAAAGCGCGUGAAUAACGACUCGCGCGAACGACGACACAUGAACAGCACGCGUGACAUACGCGAACAACGCGCGCGAAACACGAUGAAACUAAAUAGUCGUCACAUUUAUAUUAAACAAAUAUUAGGGCAACACAUUUGAGUUACUAUUAAUUACGUCGACAUGGAUUUAUAAAGCGUAAGUUAACUACUAUAAAUUAGUUUAAUUGAAAAGUAUAAUUGACUAAGGUUAGUUAAACAAAAAUAUAAUUAAUUAUUUAAAAUGCGUGACAUAGUGAAACAAAGUUACCAAUGUGUAGACGAUGCUCACCUCGCAACGACAGCGGACGACCAGACUAGUCAACGGCGAGGCAUGAGAACGGCAAGAUUGCUGUUGCGUCGGGGCCACGCAGAGGACUAUAGAGUACAUGGCCACAGAAGGUCUUGCAGACCAAUGAGACACUGUCACAUGGCCACGUUUGGAGGGUAAGCAAUUCCAAACAUGCUAC
Molecule: long non-coding RNA, 1810 nt
Filed under: Zea mays
Lineage: Eukaryota; Viridiplantae; Streptophyta; Magnoliopsida; Poales; Poaceae
Description: long non-coding RNA (ZMAY_LNC003863)
Source: RNAcentral